GUCCGGCCGAGGGCACGCCUGCCUGGGCGUCA
Molecule: ribosomal RNA, 32 nt
Filed under: Korthalsia laciniosa
Lineage: Eukaryota; Viridiplantae; Streptophyta; Magnoliopsida; Arecales; Arecaceae
Also listed under: 1 other name
Description: partial 5.8S ribosomal RNA
Source: RNAcentral